Molecule: microRNA precursor, 201 nt
Filed under: Ectocarpus siliculosus
Lineage: Eukaryota; Phaeophyceae; Ectocarpales; Ectocarpaceae
Description: miR8623d stem-loop (esi-MIR8623d)
Source: miRBase by way of RNAcentral
CUCAUGGGCGCCCAUGAGAAUCAAUAUGGUGUCUCGUGGUGCCCCAUGGGACACCAUGGGGUCUCAUGACAUACAAUGAGACUUACCCCAUGACACACCAUAGGGUGCCAUGGGAUACCAUGAGAUGGCUGUCUCAUAAUACUCCAGGGGGUGCCAUGGGAGGACAUGAGACACCAUUACAUUCUCAUGGGCGCCCAUGGG